UAGACUCAGGAAGGUGCUCCUCUGAUGAGAGACACAGAUCCAGACACGACUACAACCAGUACCAAGGUCUGUGGAGUUCAGGCAAGGGUCUGAGGUUAAUUCCAAUAGAUGGAAAAGAAGGAAAAGAAUUCCAGCAGGCAAGAAUUCCCAUGGCCAAGAUUAGAGUGCAAGAGUUUGAGAGAGCAGUUACCUUUGGCCCUUUGGACUCUCUCUGGGUGCUCACAAAGGUUCCUGGGCCCUGGGGCUCCUUGGCUGGCUAUUUGGUGAAAGACUCAAGAAAACAAGUACUCUGAAGGAUGGGAGAAAUCAGGACUUUUAUGUACUGCCAGAGGGAAGGUGAUGUCCAGAGGAGUUACAGUUACAUAAGCCAGUCACUUUUCAGAUAUCUUUGAAACUGGGAUGGAGUGGACAGCAGACGGACCACCUACUUGGAGUCAAUGACUGUUACUGUAACAAGAUCCCAUCUGACCAAUCCUGAGACAAUGGACCGUCAGACAAACUCUGAAACCACCUCCGGCUACAUCUGGCCACCUCUAACCACUUCUGAACACAACUGUGAACACAUCUGUUUGAACUGUGCAUAUUUAUCACUUCCUGUCCCUAAUCCUUUGUUUAGUUAACCCUAUAGCUCAUGUCUGUGCCCUGAAGAUGGCUGACAAUGGCUGCUUACACCAUAUCAUCAAUAUUUCUCUGCUGUUCAUCAUUAUCAUCUCUUUAUUUUGUGAAUAGAAGUGAAAUGACUGGACCUGACCUGUAAAAUCCCAGGAGUUUGAGCCAAGAUCCUAAAAAUUCCGGUUUCACAUGCAUGCAUCUUAUCAAUCAAUCAUUUAAUAGUUUACAAUGUUUAAUCUUUGUAUCUUUUGAGGGAGUAACUGUGAUCUUUAUGUUAGAAUGAGGGAAUUAAUGUGUGGGAGCAUGGAAUGACUUGAUCAAGGUUAUUCAAGCACAAGUUAAAUAGCAUCAUCUUUUAAAAGGGUAGUCCAGAUGCCAUUCACAAAGUAGGUAAGUGUAGAGUAUAAGCAGGUAAAGUAAUUUUCUCUUAGCAGAACUGAGACUAGAACACAGGUCUACUAUUAGUGUUCCACCGUGUCCC
Dipodomys ordii (Ord's kangaroo rat) is the source of this 1093-nucleotide long non-coding RNA. RefSeq lists it as uncharacterized. The record is from RefSeq and is a predicted model, not a curated record. The transcript is spliced from 4 exons. NCBI's taxonomy places the organism in Eukaryota, Metazoa, Chordata, Mammalia, Rodentia, Heteromyidae.